RNAcentral lists this ribosomal RNA (440 nucleotides) under uncultured bacterium. RNAcentral's name for it is "bacterial SSU rRNA". It matches the Rfam family "Bacterial small subunit ribosomal RNA", at positions 338 to 793 of the family's 1533-position model. The record is from RNAcentral.
CCUACGGGCGGCAGCAGUGGGGGAUAUUGCGCAAUGGGGGAAACCCUGACGCAGCGACGCCGCGUGAAGGAUGAAGGUUUUCGGAUCGUAAACUUCUUUGACCGGGGACGAAGAAAUGACGGUACCCGGGGAACAAGCCACGGCUAACUACGUGCCAGCAGCCGCGGUAAUACGUAGGUGGCGAGCGUUGUCCGGAUUUACUGGGUGUAAAGGGCGCGUAGGCGGGGCGGCAAGUCCGAUGUGAAAUCCCGCGGCUCAACCGUGGAACCACAUCGGAAACUGUCGUCCUUGAGUAUCGGAGGGGAAAGCGGAAUUCCUAGUGUAGCGGUGAAAUGCGUAGAUAUUAGGAGGAACACCAAUGGCGUAGGCAGAUCACUGGCUCGUUUCUGACGCUAAGGCACGAAAGCGUGGGUAGCAAACGGGAUUAGAUACCCCUGUAG